AUGGAAACGUGGCCUAAUACUCCAUAGUAUAUUUGGGAGGCAUCUCUUGGAUAUUAAAGCUUCGGUGGUGACGGAUUGGCUCGCGUGACAUUAGCUAGAUGGAGAGGUAACGGCUCACCAUGGCGACGAUGUCUAGGGGAACUGAGAGGUUAAUCCCCCACACUGGAACUGAGACACGGUCCAGACUCCUACGGGAGGCAGCAGUGAGGAAUAUUGGUCAAUGGCCGAGAGGCUGAACCAGCCAUGCCGCGUGAAGGUCACGGCCCUAUGGGUCUUAAACUUCUUUUGUAAGGGAGCAAUAAGGUGUACGUGUACAUCGAUGAGAGUACCUUACGAAUAAGCAUCGGCUAACUCCGUG
RNAcentral lists this ribosomal RNA (358 nucleotides) under uncultured bacterium. RNAcentral's name for it is "bacterial SSU rRNA". It matches the Rfam family "Bacterial small subunit ribosomal RNA", at positions 150 to 507 of the family's 1533-position model. The record is from RNAcentral.